Hibiscus syriacus is the source of this 882-nucleotide long non-coding RNA. RefSeq lists it as uncharacterized. Lineage: Eukaryota; Viridiplantae; Streptophyta; Magnoliopsida; Malvales; Malvaceae. The transcript has 2 exons. The record is from RefSeq and is a predicted model, not a curated record.
UUUUCCAAGGAAGAAUUGAAAGAUCUCUGUGCUAACCCUUUAACAUUUUUUCAGGUAGGAAACCAUUAUCACUUAUCGAGGUAAACCCUGACUUGAAUUUCGAUCGAAGUAAAGCAUUAGGCAUGCGGCUAAAUAUACCAGCGGGAACAGCUUAAAGAUUUGAGGUCGAGCGAGCAUUUUAACCUUCAUCUGUUGAUAAGCUUGUUGUUUGAUCAUUGAUUAAGUCAAUUAACGGUUAUUCAUUGAUCAUGUUGUGGGUGUUGGUUAUGUAUAUGUGUCGACACAGGAUGGUAUGAUUUUUGAUAAAUUGGAGGGUGCAGAUCCUUCCAGUCUCGCCAAAAAAGUUGCCAAGGUUACUGGGCUUAUUAACCCUGGAGAAGCUGCUGCUCCUGCUAGUCUUGGGAUGGCUGCCGGCCCCACCGUCCUUGAGACGGUCCAAGAUUUGGCAAAGGUAAAUGGUUCAUCCCAGACAGGAAAUCAAGUGCAAACUGGUCUCGACGACAAACUUAAAAAACGCUUACAUCCUUUUCUUUUCCUUGAUUUCAUUUUUUUUCUCGAGUGAUGAUUGCAGAGUUGAAGAAGUCGUUGCACGUUGUGUUCUCACAAUUCGGAAAGAUACUGGAUGUGUUAGCAUUGAAGACGCUGAAACACAAAGGUCAAGAUUGGGUUAUUUUCGAGGAUGUUAGCUCCGCUACCAAUGCUCUUAGGCGAAUGCAGGGCUUUCCCUUUUAUGACAAGGAGAUGGUAUAUGUAUUUUUGCAAUUGGUUUCUUGUUUCUGUCAUUGAUGGAGACUGCAACAAGUUUCCAAGCUCCGCUUUUAAUAUGUCAAAAUUGUUUUUCCUUGUUUCUGUCUAUGAAUUAUUAUUAAAUUCUCUAUGUUU